AAGGUUCUAGUAAAACAACAUUACAUCACCUUGUCAGGGUGAAAUUGUGGGCUAGAACCCCACGAAUCUUA
RNAcentral lists this transfer RNA (71 nucleotides) under Himantura uarnak (honeycomb stingray). RNAcentral describes it as "tRNA-Asp". The record is from RNAcentral. Lineage: Eukaryota; Metazoa; Chordata; Chondrichthyes; Myliobatiformes; Dasyatidae. RNAcentral also lists the same sequence under 1 other name.